AAGACACUAGUAAAACCGACCAUUACAUUGCCUUGUCAAGGCAGUAUCGCGGGUUAGACCCCCGCGUGUCUUA
Molecule: transfer RNA, 73 nt
Filed under: Priacanthus arenatus (Atlantic bigeye)
Lineage: Eukaryota; Metazoa; Chordata; Actinopteri; Priacanthiformes; Priacanthidae
Description: tRNA-Asp
Rfam family: tRNA
About the family: Transfer RNA (tRNA) molecules are approximately 80 nucleotides in length. Their secondary structure includes four short double-helical elements and three loops (D, anti-codon, and T loops).
Source: RNAcentral